AUGUUAUUUUCUGGUUCUGUAUAUGCGUUAUGUUACAAAUUCUUGUGGAGGAAAAGUGUGAGCUUCGCUAUUUCCAGGCAUUACAGACUCUUUAAUGUCUUGGGAGGGAAAACAAGGCGAACAAGGCUGGUAAAGUAUGAUAAUGCUUUAAUCGACAAGCAAACAGAGUUCUACAAGAUAAGGAUAAAACCCAUUAUUCAUCAGCUGAGCUUCCUGUUACGAACUUACGAUUGGGCAACGGCACCCCGCACCCCCCCUCUGCAAAUCCAUGCAAGCCAUGCAUGGACUCGUAGGCCGUGUCUGCCGAGGCGUUCGUGUCCUUGGGAACCCUUCUGGGAUGCCCCCAUUGCGAAGCAGCCAUGCGGACAUCGUCGACGGCCACAGUCGAGGACGUCGCCAAAAGUAACUGUAGUUGGUUCAGUGAAUCGCCCUUACCAUCUAGUUUUUGAUAAAAGUUACAAGGUUGGAAUGUUAUAG
RNAcentral lists this ribosomal RNA (477 nucleotides) under Triticum aestivum (bread wheat). RNAcentral's name for it is "partial small subunit ribosomal RNA". The record is from RNAcentral. Lineage: Eukaryota; Viridiplantae; Streptophyta; Magnoliopsida; Poales; Poaceae.